ACCUAGCUGGCUCAGUCAGUAGAGCAUGUGACUCUUAAUCUCAGGGUCAUGAGUUCAAGCCCCACAUUGGGCA
Molecule: transfer RNA, 73 nt
Filed under: Canis lupus familiaris (dog)
Lineage: Eukaryota; Metazoa; Chordata; Mammalia; Carnivora; Canidae
Also listed under: 1 other name
Rfam family: tRNA
About the family: Transfer RNA (tRNA) molecules are approximately 80 nucleotides in length.
Source: Rfam by way of RNAcentral